GAUGAACGCUGGCGGCGUGCCUAAUACAUGCAAGUCGAGCGAACGGACGAGAAGCUUGCUUCUCUGAUGUUAGCGGCGGACGGGUGAGUAACACGUGGAUAACCUACCUAUAAGACUGGGAUAACUUCGGGAAACCGGAGCUAAUACCGGAUGAUAUUUUGAACCGCAUGGUUCAAAAGUGAAAGACGGUCUUGCUGUCACUUAUAGAUGGAUCCGCGCUGCAUUAGCUAGUUGGUAAGGUAACGGCUUACCAAGGCAACGAUGCAUAGCCGACCUGAGAGGGUGAUCGGCCACACUGGAACUGAGACACGGUCCAGACUCCUACGGGAGGCAGCAGUAGGGAAUCUUCCGCAAUGGGCGAAAGCCUGACGGAGCAACGCCGCGUGAGUGAUGAAGGUCUUCGGAUCGUAAAACUCUGUUAUUAGGGAAGAACAUAUGUGUAAGUAACUGUGCACAUCUUGACGGUACCUAAUCAGAAAGCCACGGCUAACUACGUGCCAGCAGCCGCGGUAAUACGUAGGUGGCAAGCGUUAUCCGGAAUUAUUGGGCGUAAAGCGCGCGUAGGCGGUUUUUUAAGUCUGAUGUGAAAGCCCACGGCUCAACCGUGGAGGGUCAUUGGAAACUGGAAAACUUGAGUGCAGAAGAGGAAAGUGGAAUUCCAUGUGUAGCGGUGAAAUGCGCAGAGAUAUGGAGGAACACCAGUGGCGAAGGCGACUUUCUGGUCUGUAACUGACGCUGAUGUGCGAAAGCGUGGGGAUCAAACAGGAUUAGAUACCCUGGUAGUCCACGCCGUAAACGAUGAGUGCUAAGUGUUAGGGGGUUUCCGCCCCUUAGUGCUGCAGCUAACGCAUUAAGCACUCCGCCUGGGGAGUACGACCGCAAGGUUGAAACUCAAAGGAAUUGACGGGGACCCGCACAAGCGGUGGAGCAUGUGGUUUAAUUCGAAGCAACGCGAAGAACCUUACCAAAUCUUGACAUCCUUUGACAACUCUAGAGAUAGAGCCUUCCCCUUCGGGGGACAAAGUGACAGGUGGUGCAUGGUUGUCGUCAGCUCGUGUCGUGAGAUGUUGGGUUAAGUCCCGCAACGAGCGCAACCCUUAAGCUUAGUUGCCAUCAUUAAGUUGGGCACUCUAAGUUGACUGCCGGUGACAAACCGGAGGAUGGUGGGGAUGACGUCAAAUCAUCAUGCCCCUUAUGAUUUGGGCUACACACGUGCUACAAUGGACAAUACAAAGGGCAGCGAAACCGCGAGGUCAAGCAAAUCCCAUAAAGUUGUUCUCAGUUCGGAUUGUAGUCUGCAACUCGACUACAUGAAGCUGGAAUCGCUAGUAAUCGUAGAUCAGCAUGCUACGGUGAAUACGUUCCCGGGUCU
This 1372-nucleotide ribosomal RNA is filed under the name uncultured bacterium. RNAcentral's name for it is "bacterial SSU rRNA". It matches the Rfam family "Bacterial small subunit ribosomal RNA", at positions 28 to 1381 of the family's 1533-position model. The record is from RNAcentral.